Molecule: long non-coding RNA, 496 nt
Filed under: Pan troglodytes (chimpanzee)
Lineage: Eukaryota; Metazoa; Chordata; Mammalia; Primates; Hominidae
Description: long non-coding RNA NONPTRT006894
Source: RNAcentral
GCCUAAGGUCACACAUCUAGUAAGUGCAGAGAGUGUUUGGAUCAGAUUUAAUUCAUGCUCUUUGCUCUAGGUCCAGUCACAUCUUCUAUGCCUAUCUCAGCUGCUGACACGUGACUCAGCUGCUCCCAUUUUCCUUGGAAAAGUAGGAGCUGGAAAGGACCUCAGAGGUCAUCCACAUCAACCAUCUCAUUUCACUGAUGAGGAAACUGAGACUUGGACCAGGGGAAGUCAGCUGCCAUGUUGUGAGGACACUCAAGCAAUCCUAUGGAGAGGCCCAUGUGAUGAGGAACUGAAGCCUCCUGCCAACAGCCACGUGAGGGCGCCAUCUUGGAAGCGGAUCUGCCAGCUUCACGCAAGCGUUCAGAUGAAUAUAGCCCUGUCCGACAUCUUCACUACAAUCUCUUGAGAGAACCUGCGCCAGCACUACCUAGCUAUGAUGCUGCAAAAUUCCUGACCCAUAGAAACUGUGAGAUAAUAAAUGCUUGUUGUGUUAAGC